Molecule: ribosomal RNA, 401 nt
Filed under: uncultured bacterium
Lineage: Bacteria
Description: bacterial SSU rRNA
Rfam family: Bacterial small subunit ribosomal RNA
Source: RNAcentral
GGGGAAUAUUGCGCAAUGGGCGGAAGCCUGACGCAGCGACGCCGCGUGAGGGAUGACGGCCUUCGGGUUGUAAACCUCUUUCAGCAGGGACGAAUGUAGACGGUACCUGUAGAAGAAGCACCGGCCAACUACGUGCCAGCAGCCGCGGUAAUACGUAGGGUGCGAGCGUUGUCCGGAAUUAUUGGGCGUAAAGAGCUCGUAGGCGGUCUGUCGCGUCGAAUGUGAAAACCCGGGGCUCAACUCCGGGCUUGCAUUCGAUACGGGCAGGCUAGAGUUCGGUAGGGGAGUCUGGAAUUCCUGGUGUAGCGGUGAAAUGCGCAGAUAUCAGGAGGAACACCGGUGGCGAAGGCGGGACUCUGGGCCGAUACUGACGCUGAGGAGCGAAAGCGUGGGGAGCGAAC